GGGUUAGUAACUUAAUUGGCAAAGGAUUUUCUUGUCGAGAAAAUAGAUAUCGGAUCGUAGCCGAUUUAACCCG
Transfer RNA from Microsporum canis CBS 113480, 73 nucleotides. It matches the Rfam family "tRNA". Rfam says of the family: Transfer RNA (tRNA) molecules are approximately 80 nucleotides in length. Their secondary structure includes four short double-helical elements and three loops (D, anti-codon, and T loops). Further hydrogen bonds mediate the characteristic L-shaped molecular structure. tRNAs have two regions of fundamental functional importance: the anti-codon, which is responsible for specific mRNA codon recognition, and the 3' end, to which the tRNAs corresponding amino acid is attached (by aminoacyl-tRNA synthetases). tRNAs cope with the degeneracy of the genetic code in two manners: having more than one tRNA (with a specific anti-codon) for a particular amino acid; and 'wobble' base-pairing, i.e. permitting non-standard base-pairing at the 3rd anti-codon position. NCBI's taxonomy places the organism in Eukaryota, Fungi, Ascomycota, Eurotiomycetes, Onygenales, Arthrodermataceae. The record is from Rfam.